RNAcentral lists this ribosomal RNA (876 nucleotides) under Cynarina lacrymalis. Its description in RNAcentral is "eukaryotic LSU rRNA". It matches the Rfam family "Eukaryotic large subunit ribosomal RNA", at positions 113 to 799 of the family's 3401-position model. Lineage: Eukaryota; Metazoa; Cnidaria; Anthozoa; Scleractinia; Lobophylliidae. The record is from RNAcentral.
AUUUGAAAUCUCCGAUGCUUGCAUCGGCGAGUUGUAAUUGCGAGAAGCACUUUCUAGGCGGAUCGGUGGUGCCUAAGUUGCUUGGAACAGCACGUCGCAGAGGGUGACAACCCCGUCUGUGGCGCGACCGGCCGCUGACGAUGUGCUUUCGAAGAGUCGGGUUGUUUGGGAAUGCAGCCCAAAAUGGGUGGUAAACUCCAUCUAAAGCUAAAUACUGGCGUGAGACCGAUAGCGAACAAGUACCGUGAGGGAAAGAUGAAAAGAACUUUGAAAAGAGAGUUAAAAAGUACGUGAAACCGUUGAAAGGGAAACGAAUGGACUCAGCAAUGCGCCGUUUGAGAUUCAGCCGGUGGGCGGCGUCGGCGCGGGGUUUGCGGAUCUGAAUGGACCGCGGCCCGGCGCUCGUGGCCUCCCGCCGUCGCACUUCUCUUGGGCGCGCGUCAACGUCGGUUGGGACUGGGUCUGAAAGGUGCCGGGAAGGUAGGUGUGGGCCCUCGGGCCCGUUCUGUUACAGCCCGGUUCUCUCGUGGCUCGGGCCCGACCGAGGUGUUGCAGGGCAUGCCUCUUGUGGCUAGGGUCCCGUCCUUCCGGCCGGCUGUCGACUGCGGUGGACUGCUUGCAGUGCUCGGCGAACGCUGCCGGUCGUUGGGGUGGUGAUCUCGUACCAUGCCCUUGGGAUGUUGGCGGUCAUAUGGGUCCAUCCGACCCGUCUUGAAACACGGACCAAGGAGUCUAACAUGUGCGCGAGUCUCAGGGUGAGCGAAACCCCGAGGCGCAAUGAAAGUGAAGGCGGCCUCGGCCGCUGAGGUGAGAUCCGACCGUCGGUCGGCGCAUCAUCGACCGACCUAUUCUACUCUUAGGAAGGUUUGAGUAAGA